UACGUAGGCAGCGAGCGUUGUUCGGAGUUACUGGGCGUAAAGGGGGUGUAGGCGGUUGUUUAAGUUUGGUGUGAAAUCUCCCGGCUCAACUGGGAGGGUGCGCCGAAUACUGAAUGACUUCGAGUGCGGGAGAGGAGAGUGGAAUUCCUGGUGUAGCGGUGAAAUGCGUAGAUAUCAGGAGGAACACCGGUGGUGUAGACGGCUCUCUGGACCGUAACUGACGCUGAGACACGAAAGCGUGGGUAGCAAACAGG
RNAcentral lists this ribosomal RNA (254 nucleotides) under uncultured bacterium. Its description in RNAcentral is "partial 16S ribosomal RNA". It matches the Rfam family "Bacterial small subunit ribosomal RNA", at positions 524 to 776 of the family's 1533-position model. The record is from RNAcentral.